Molecule: non-coding RNA, 120 nt
Filed under: marine eukaryotic metagenome
Description: FMN riboswitch (RFN element)
Rfam family: FMN riboswitch aptamer (RFN element)
About the family: The RFN element is a highly conserved domain that is found frequently in the 5'-untranslated regions of prokaryotic mRNAs that encode for flavin mononucleotide (FMN) biosynthesis and transport proteins.
Source: RNAcentral
AUUCUCAGGGCGGGGCGAAAUUCCCCACCGGCGGUUAUAGCCCGCGAGCGGCCCUUCGGGGUGUCAGCAGAUCUCGGUGAAAUUCCGAAGCCGACGGUUAAAGUCCGGAUGGAAGAGAAU